ACUAUGUUACUUAACACAGCCACACAAAGCAAAGAUGCAGAGGAUUCAAACUAUGAAAAUGUUGAUAGUUUCCGAAAUAACCACAGUGGCAUGAAUGAAUCAACAUAUGUGAACAUGAGACUUCCAAAUGGCAGAAAAAACAGGGAAUAAGGACAACCGAGCAGACAAAGGUCACCUGUUCUGAAUUGAGGAAGUGAUCCUGCACAUCAAUAAAUACUUCAAGUCCAACAUACACUGAUUAAGCAUGCAUAACCUAUAUAAUUCAACAUUUCUGCAAUCAACAUCAUGGAUAUAUGGAUAUUUGUAAAUAUUAUUGAAAAAAAUAUAACACAGAAUAUUAUGUUAAUGACACAAUGAUGUUAUAGAGAACUACAGAAGAUGUAUUGUCUGA
Long non-coding RNA from Trichomycterus rosablanca, 391 nucleotides. RefSeq lists it as uncharacterized. The transcript is spliced from 4 exons. Lineage: Eukaryota; Metazoa; Chordata; Actinopteri; Siluriformes; Trichomycteridae. The record is from RefSeq and is a predicted model, not a curated record.